UACGUAGGGCGCAAGCGUUGUCCGGAAUUAUUGGGCGUAGAGAGCUCGUAGGCGGCUUGUCGCGUCGGAUGUGAAAGCCCGGGGCUUAACCCCGGGUCUGCAUUCGAUACGGGCAGGCUGGAGUGUGGUAGGGGAGAUCGGAAUUCCUGGUGUAGCGGUGAAAUGCGCAGAUAUCAGGAGGAACACCGGUGGCGAAGGCGGAUCUCUGGGCCAUUACUGACGCUGAGGAGCGAAAGCGUGGGGAGCGAACAGG
This 253-nucleotide ribosomal RNA is filed under the name uncultured bacterium. RNAcentral's name for it is "partial 16S ribosomal RNA". It matches the Rfam family "Bacterial small subunit ribosomal RNA", at positions 524 to 776 of the family's 1533-position model. The record is from RNAcentral.